UUUGGGGUGACUUCACCCAAUGAAAGCUUGAGGGCGUAGACUUCCGGCCUGCUUCCUGGCGUCUGAUUUCCGGUGUCCAGCACCCUCACUUCUGCGCUUUGAAGGAAGUGAGCUUCUAAUACUGCAAAGCUGAUUCCAAAUGACUGGAACUGCAGCAGCCCACCCUCCGAUUGAAUGGCUCCCUGGAUUCACCUGCACUAAUUGGUUCUCUUUCGGGAAGCCAAGGUCCGGCCCCUUCUCCAGACCCAGGAAGUGACAAGAGUCUCACUAUGUAGCCCAGGCUGGCCUUGAACUCACUAGGACCCUCCUGCCUCAGCCUCCGGAGAGUGUGUCAUGAUGCCUGGCUUGUUUUUGUUUCUGUUUUGCACAAAGAAGCGGCGCAGCAGCUGCUCCUGUGGCUGGUCUGCAAAUCCUCCAUGACUGUUUCUUUAAAUUGCAGCCCUGGGAGUGGAGUGAAGGGACAAAGGGCAACGGGAAAGCUUUUCUUGGGGACUGAGCUGGGCCUUAGGGCUGAGAGCGUUCAGGGGAGGGAAGAGGGCAUUCAGGUGGCGGGAACACCAUGGGCAAGAGUGCCCGGGUAGGAAGAGGUGAGAAUUCCCUAAAGCUGUUGGGGGAAUAACCGGAAACGCCCCACUGUUGGUCUCAAACCCCAGGGUAGCAGAGCUGGGCAGAGCCUGGUGUUCUUCUGGGCCCUCUCCCCUCCUGCUGCCUCCACCUCACCCGCCCUGGGCGCCCUUCACUCUGGGGUCCGAACCCAUCUGCUCCCCAGGCCACACCACGCCCGCCUCGGACCCUACCCCAGGCUCCGCCCACCCCCUCCCUCCCGCCUGGUCCCCGGGCCGACGUCAGCAGGUCCUUCAGCGUCAAGACAGACGGCCGGUCACCCUCGCCCCUUCCUUGGGGUGGACCUCAGCCCAUCGCACCAAGAAGGAGCCCCAUGAGCACUGACAGCAAAGCCUUGGAGUACAGACGGCAUCUUCGUGAAGGCUGGGCCCCAGUGUCCGGGCCCCACGUCCCUGGCUCCUGGACUGCCCAGAGCCCGGUGCCUGGUGCUGCCUCCUCUUCUCGUCUGUCUAUACCGUCUUCCGGGCAUGGAUCCGGACAGGCCAGGCCAAGGGAAACACACACACAUUCUCAUCCUGUCUGGUGACUUCCAAGAGGGUGGCUGGGCACCUCCCGGCCUGUCCCUCAGGGCCCUGCUCUCAGGAGGGCAGGGUCGGGUGCUCUGCUGGGACCCGGCCUGCUCCUGCGUCCAGGGGGACUGCAGAGCCCAGCGCCACCGCCAGCGGGACACUGUGUCUGGGAAUUAAUUCAGACGUCACAUUCCACUCCUUGGCGCGGCCAGCUGUUUCAAUAUAAAGAUAUUUAA
RNAcentral lists this long non-coding RNA (1369 nucleotides) under Heterocephalus glaber (naked mole-rat). Its description in RNAcentral is "lncRNA (ENSHGLG00100036544.1)". The record is from RNAcentral. Lineage: Eukaryota; Metazoa; Chordata; Mammalia; Rodentia; Bathyergidae.